AACCUGCUCCAUGUAAGAAUAAAUAGCCGCAGUUUACUGUGCUAAGGUAGCAUAAUCAUUAGCCUCCUAAUUAGGGGAUAGAAUGAAAGGUUAAACGUAAUUUUUACUGUCUCUCAACCACUCAUAAAUUUGAUUAUCUAGUUAAAAAUCUAGUAAAUAAUAACAGGACGACAAGACCCUAUAAACUUUUCAUUUUGCUGGGGCGGCAGUUUAAAAAUACCUUAAACUUUUUAAGAAUAAAAUCUUUUCAAGAAACAACAUACAGUUACUAUAGGGAUAACAGCGCUACUUUUUUCUAAAGUUCAUAUAUAAAAAAAUAUCUACGACCUCGAUGUUGAAUUAAUUUACCUCUCAAAAGCAAAAUUUUGAAAAGUUAGUCUGUUCGACUAUAAAACAAUU
Molecule: ribosomal RNA, 399 nt
Filed under: Tupigea sp. 3 JJA-2006
Lineage: Eukaryota; Metazoa; Arthropoda; Arachnida; Araneae; Pholcidae
Description: partial 16S ribosomal RNA
Rfam family: Bacterial large subunit ribosomal RNA
Source: RNAcentral